UCCAGACUCCUACGGGAGGCAGCAGUGGGGAAUAUUGCACAAUGGGGGAAACCCUGAUGCAGCGACGCCGCGUGAGUGAAGAAGUAUUUCGGUAUGUAAAGCUCUAUCAGCAGGGAAGAGAAUGACGGUACCUGAGUAAGAAGCCCCGGCUAACUACGUGCCAGCAGCCGCGGUAAUACGUAGGGGGCAAGCGUUAUCCGGAUUUACUGGGUGUAAAGGGAGCGUAGACGGCGAAGAAAGUCUGAAGUGAAAGACCGCGGCUCAACCGCGGAACUGCUUUGGAAACUUUUUUGCUGGAGUACCGGAGAGGUAAGCGGAAUUCCUAGUGUAGCGGUGAAAUGCGUAGAUAUUAGGAGGAACACCAGUGGCGAAGGCGGCUUACUGGACUGUAACUGACGUUGAGGCUCGAAAGCGUGGGGAGCAAACAGGAUUAGAUACCCCAGUACC
RNAcentral lists this ribosomal RNA (447 nucleotides) under uncultured bacterium. RNAcentral describes it as "bacterial SSU rRNA". It matches the Rfam family "Bacterial small subunit ribosomal RNA", at positions 330 to 794 of the family's 1533-position model. The record is from RNAcentral.